UGGUUUGCAGUUUUGCUGCUGCAGUUCCUGGUACUCAGCUGGCUUUCUCGGUAGAACCAUGACUCUUCACUUAAAAGCUGGUGCAAAGAAACACCUUAGCUGCUUCCUGAAACUCCUGAGCUCAAGUGAUGGUGGCCUUUUGCCUUCUCAUGUAGACAUGUAUGCCUUCCUGUCCUAGGCAAAGCCAUGGGUGAGCAGAACUUCCUGGGCUGUUCUUCUAAGACCUGUCUCCUGGAAGGGAUGAGGUGAAUUGACACAUGAGCCAGCUUCAGCUGUGCUUGUACUCUUCCCUAUUGCACUCUUGCUUUUCCCAGUUCCCAACAGACACUUCUCUUGGCCUAAAAGCAGUCAUAUUUUGCUGAUUGAGAGUAGUGGCAGACCUCUGUAUCAGUGGAAUAGGAGGGGAGCAUGUUUGCUACGAAGUCCUUGUAGCAUGGCUCUGUAUGUCAGGGAAAAGAGACAGAAGAGACUACUGAGUUUGAUAGUGGGUCUUUCAAGACGUGGCGUAGAAAACUUGUCUUUGAGCUAAGGGCUGGCUAGCUGAUGCUGGAAUGAUGAACAGAGCCUGUCCCUUGCUCUUUCAGGUGCAGUGUGUUCGAGGAAAUAACCAUCUGUGAGCGAACAAGAGUGGAGCACCACUUUCCUUCAGGAACCUACUUCCAGCACCAUUAAUUUACCUUACCUGCCCUCUGUGGUCAGAAGUUCAACGGCAGGGAUCUGUCCCCACAGUGAUUUCCAUCACUCAUGGGAUACACUGCCAGUACAUUUUCACUGGCAAGGCAUGGACAUUUAGAUGAUUAUAGAUUCACAGUUAUUGUCUGAGCUAAAAAAAUCUUACUGCUGUUAAAGAAUGAAAACUGAGGUUGCCUCUUACCUCCAGAUAUGACCCUUGUGCAGAAAAGGUCUUCUGAUCUCUUGGCAUUGCUAACACAGGUGUCCCACAAGCAAAAACUUCUCAGAAGGCAGGACUUUGUGGUCAUGUCCCUUGGGAACGAGGGCAGGAGCUUUUCUGCAGGCACCAUUGUAGCACAUGCAUGGGCUGCAACAUCUCCUUUUGAUAGAUGUAAUGAAAUCAGUGAAAGGCCAGCCCUCUCCAGUAUACAUGGGAUGCCUAUAUGCUAAUCAUAUGUGCACUUCUCUAAAAAAAAGCAAAGAACCGCCCUCCCCCCUCCUCCCCCCCGCAAAAUAGAUUACAGGUACUUUAAGCUCCUUGCUGCAUGUAUGCAAAUAACUUCACACCUAAAAGCUGAUGUGGCAUCUGUUGUGCAGAUGUUUAUCUGGCACUAGGGAGUAAUAUUUUCUUUGUCCACAUUACUCAAGUCUUUCGUGGCCUCAAAUAGCUGACUCGAGCACUUGUUGCUCCAACAUACCAAUGAUAGUUGCUACGGAUGUUCCCUUCCAACUCCCAUGUCUGAGAGUUUGGUCUGAAAUACCACAACCAUGUCCAAGAGCAAAUCUCUCCUUGCUGUGACUGAAGCCUGAAAUCACACUGGAGUCCUCCUUCUGUUCGUGUUCAGCCACGUCCUCACAUUUGUGGAGUCCCAGCCUCCAAGUACACUGACAGGCUCCAAAACUGCCUCCCUUGGAGGGAACAAGCUCAAAUGGAAAACGUUAUCAUCAAGCCCUUUUUGCACUCCUGCACCAAGAAAUAUUUUGACUCGUUGUCUAUUUGCAUGCUAUGUUCUCCAUGGCCACCCUCCCCAAGCUAUUAGUUACAGUAGCUUCGCUAAGUGAGAACCAGGGAUUCCUUAGGUAAGAUACCACCUUCCUUCUACAUUGUACAAGGGACAUCAAGCAUUAGAAAGGGGGAAUGUUGCAAAUAGCAAGAGGCAAAGUACACCAAGGAGGAGGCAGACUCUAUACAAGUGGACCACUGGUUUUGUCGUUGGAUUUUGCUUGGAGACUGAAGAUUUAUGCAGCAGCAGGGACAGGGAGGGAGCUUUCCCUGCACUGCUUAGAGACAGUACUUACAGUGGUAGGAAUGUGCAGAGUAGAAAUUCUCCUUUUGUAGACUUUGAGGUUGUUCAGAAACUCUGAGACAGCAAAAAAGGGAGCUAUGUCUGAAGGGAAGACAGGAAAACCUUGGGGUAUUAGACUGGGCCUUGCUCCAUACAGGGACUUUGUGGCAGUUCAUUUGAGUGUUGCCUCAGCAGAAAGUAGAAAUGUGGCCACCCUUUCAAUGCAGAGCAUCUGCAGUAGUUGUAGGAUGAGGAAAGAAGUGAGGAGUUAUGUUGAUUUGGACUUGUGCAAUAAUUUGGGGGAUGAGUAGGAACAACCACAGCUCCCUGCUGCAGCUGGGGCAGUGUCAGGAGAUCUGUCCGCGCACACAGCAAGCAUGUCCUACGCAGACCUCCGGCACCUCAGUUUGUCCCUGCGGAAGGAGGGAAACUGCUGACUUUUCACUCUCUAUGAAAAGGUAGUAAAACCUGCAUUUAUGGCAGAA
Aquila chrysaetos chrysaetos is the source of this 2443-nucleotide long non-coding RNA. RefSeq lists it as uncharacterized. The record is from RefSeq and is a predicted model, not a curated record. The transcript has 2 exons. NCBI's taxonomy places the organism in Eukaryota, Metazoa, Chordata, Aves, Accipitriformes, Accipitridae.